This 1631-nucleotide long non-coding RNA is filed under the name Coffea arabica (coffee). Its description in RNAcentral is "long non-coding RNA (CARA_LNC003166)". Lineage: Eukaryota; Viridiplantae; Streptophyta; Magnoliopsida; Gentianales; Rubiaceae. The record is from RNAcentral.
CCUUUGUUGCUUAUAUAUAGUUACAUCAGUUCCAAAAGAGCAUCUGAUGCCAUUUGUUUCCUUGUUUAACUUCUACAGUACAGUCUCCUUGCUUCCCUAGUUCUCUCCUUUCUUCACAGUAUCAGUCUAUUCUCCGAAGCGGUUUGCUCCUCUAGUUUUCUCCUUUCCUCGUAUCAGUCUACUUUCCUUUAUUUGCUACUUUUGUCUGCUGGAAGCCACGAGGACUUCUCUCUUACUGCAGGUAACUCCCACAACUUAUGCUAUUUGUUUACCUCAAUCAAGGAGUCCAGGGAAUCUUUUUUCAAGAAAGGAUGUUGCAUCUUUGAUUGGUCUGCAUUCCAAGUUUCAUUUGACUUGCCUAAAAGGAAAAAAAGUUUCAUUUGUCUUGAAACCUGAUGCACCGUUAGUUUCAAGCCACAGAUUAACCUGGUCUCAAGGGACAAAAUUUUGCUCUCAAAAUGACCCAAACUCCUAGUCUCCUUUCAAUUUAUCUGUCACUCUGCCUGCCAGUAGCAAAUAACAUGUAAAGCCAACGGACUUGAGUCUGUAAAUGAUGGAAGAUAUAUACUAAAUUUCGGUAAUCAUGUGUUCAGCAAUACUCUUGUUUGGUGCUCUGAGAUGCAAGUCCACUGUGCACCCAAUAACCUCUAAAAAUACUUAAUUAUCUUGUCAUCUGGAAAAAGAUUGGAAAGUGUCUUCUAUGUUACCUUCUGACACACCCUAUUAGAUCAUGUACAGAAUUUUAUGAAUCUCUUCGUAUAUUUGCAUUCGAAACUACAAUGAUGAUUCAGUCGGAUAAAAACAUCAUUUUGCUAGUUCUCCUAUCUUUUUACACAGAAAACUGAAGCAUGACAAACGCAAGAGUUUGUAAUUAACUAAUUAUAUCAAACCAAGUGUACAACAACAGAUUACAGGAAUUAUGCGUGUUUAUCUCUAGAAGGGUUCACUCACAUUCAUUUGCCUUCAAAUCACUACACGAAAUACAACAACUCAAUACUCUCUACUGAAGUUGGAAGUUCUUUGAUGGAUCCUACAAAACAAAAAUUGUUUUUAUUUCUUGUCCUGAUCUUUCAUAUACAUUCUUUGUGAUCUGCAUCCUCAUGGAUGGAAUGGUGCAAAAUAUGUAAAGGGCAAGAUGGUGAUCAAACUUGCAGUGCUUGAACAGCUCUAAAUACACUUGACUCUGCGCUAUGAAUUAACUCUGUUGUGUGUUUUCAUUACUAACACUUGCUAUGAAAUUAUGCAGAUAUCAGAGUACUCUGUACUUCUUCUUUCGCCUUCUGAAAUGCAGGAAAAACUAUAGUGAGGUAUUGUCAAUUUGGAAGCUGAAGAAAUCAUAUAAUUGAGUGCGCUGCACUUACAUUUGAGACUUCUUUCCAUGAAUGAAGGGUUUUUAAUGCUUUCCCAGAUAACAAUGUUUGCCGAGCCAAGGUCACUCCUUCAGACAGAUCUUUAACGUGUCCGCUAACCAAGAUGGCUGCUGCUGCAUUUAGCACCUAACAGUUUCACAAGCACGAUGGAUUACAAAAUCAUGGCAAGUGAAACAUGGUAAACCUAAGGUGAAAAAUAUGUCCUAGUGUUAUUUCAUUGGUGCAAAAUUUGAUUGACAGAUUUAUUAAGACCGCUCCGAA